AGUCGGUCCUGGCUGGCCGCAGGGAAGAGCCGGCACCAUGAGUCACGUAGUGACCAUCGAAGAGCCCCAGGCCAAGCCGCCGGUGUCUCAAACCCGGUGCAGAGGGAGGUCGGGGCCCUGGGGCAAAGUCUCUGCCAAUCGAACAUAUGAUUUCCUAUACGAUCCAUUGUUUAUCGUGUCAAGUGAGAAAGAACACAACCAGGCAAAUAUUCAGGCCACCCUGAUUCGAAGCAGACUGAGAAGGGUUCCCAGGUAUAGAACCAUGUUCAGUAGCCUGUUUCAUUAUCCAAGAUAUUCUGUAUAUUGGAGCAAGGCAGAUCCUGUUCCAUCAUUCAUCAGUCGGGACUGGAAGGGACAUGAGGAGAGACACAAAGAAGCCCUCCGGAAACUUGCUGUAACUGACACUUCUUUUCCGAUGCCUAAAGAAGUUUAUGAAGAUCCUGAUGUUACUGGAAAGAAUCACUAUAAAUAUUUUGAAAGGCCUUUCCUUCCAUUUUAUCAACAGUUGCCAUUCAAUGUUGUUUUUGCAUCAACCAGGGCAGAGCCAUAUACCUUUCCUCCUCCUUCCACUAAGUACCUCCCCAUUCCUUCAAAGUAUACUGUGGGCACUCAGACUGAUUAUCGCGAUGCCGAAGUUCAAACAGACCCGUAUUCUCCAGAAUACGUAGUAUGUCAGAAUUCCAUCCCUGAACUGCUGACCCUGGCUACUCUCACUUGGGGUCGAGGUCUCCCGGCAGGACAAGCUGAGGUAGAGAUGAUAGAACGUGCCCGGGAGAAGCGUGCUUGGGAAGCCACUCUCCCCACUCUGAGUGACACCUCCCAGUUUGAGAAGAGGAGGAGGAUGAUGAAUGCCAUGGAGAGGAAGGAGUGGGCCUUCAGAGAGCAGGAGAUCGAAAAACUGCAGGAGAUUCGCCUGGAAGUUCUAAAAGAGCUGCUGAAGAAGCGUGAUGAGAAUCAAAAUGAAGUAAACAUGGCGUGCUUGAAUGCCCAGUGGUCUAAACUGCAGGAGGUGAAGGAGGCAAAGUUGGCACAGAUUCACCACACACACGUAUCAGCAAUCAGAAAACUUUUGGGAAAGGGAAAGAAUAUAGAAGGGAAGUUGGAGAGAAGAAAUAUCAUCAAGGAUUAUUCUGAUUAUGCAUCACAGGUCUAUGGACCUCUAUCUCGCCUUGGUCGUUUCACAGACAACAACUCAGAGGACUUUGUAGUAAAAAACCACUAUCUCAACACCUAUGAAGGGUUAGUCGAACUUGAGUCAUGUCUCCCAGAUUUUGUGACACAACCCCGAAUCAGAUCUCCAAAACCAAAAGUCACUACCACCAAAGAUGGUUUUCUAAAGAGGGCUGCAAGGAUGGACCAUGAGUUGGCAGAGUUUCAUAAGGCACUGUUGGAAAAGAAGAAUAAGGGCCCCGAAGCAAAGAAACCAUUGCGUUUUCUCCAAAGAAAGCCAAUACCUCAACCUCGACUUCCAACUCCAACUUUGGAGAUGAAUUCCAAUGAAGAAGAAGAUAUAGAAAUGGCUGUGAUCUACCUUCAAAAGUUACUCCGGGGCAGAGUCGUUCAGAACAUGAUGUUUGAAGGAAAAGAGAAGCGACUGGAGUUGAUCCAGGAGCUGCGCACCAGCCACGCACUGCAAGAAGAGGACAGGCUGGUGAAGAAAGCCGAGAAGCAGGUGACCCUGGCCUUGCAGCGACAGAGGAACCUGCACGAGCACAAGGUGUCACUGAUUGAAAACCAUUUGGCUGGACUGGAAGGAUGGGUGCUGGCAGACAUGUUUGACUUCCUGUCCAAAGAGCUGGUGAGACUGCAGGAGGAGAGGAGGGUCCACGCCCUGGUCAUGUUGGCUGAGAGGCAGCGCAGGAUGCGUGAAGCCGAAGAGAGUGGCCGGCGCCAGGUGGAAGAGAGGCGCCUGCAGGAGGAGGACCAGAUAUUUAAGGAGGUAAUUAAAGUUCACCAAAGUACUGUAACUUCCUAUCUGGAGGAUAUAAUACUGAACACUGAAGAGAAUACUGCAGAAGAACAAGCCAGGGCAGAAAUAGAGAAGAUGGCUGAGGAAAUCAAUGACAUUGCUUAUGAAAUGGAAAGCCGUCGAACUCAGCUUCAGUCAGAGGAGAUCGUUGCCGAGUUGGUUUAUAGUUUCCUGAUCCCAGAGUUGCAAAAGGACUUUGUCAAAGAAAAAGUGAGGAACGCACAGCAGAAGCACAUCCUCGCAGCCCAUAAGGUCAUCCACAGGCACACGGAAGACAUGCUCCAGAAGCAUUGUGUUGAGCAACAGCAAGCAUCAGACACUGAGCUACUUGAGGGAGAAACUGAAAAUGAGCAAAACAGCUAAGACUAUGAUCUUUUUAAAAAGAAGCUAUACAAAUCAUCAUAGAGCAUUCCAGUCCUCUGUGCUUCUCCUAAGAUGUGCAGCUCUUAUGGGCUUGUCAAUAUGUGAUGCAUGAGAAAACAGAUUUAUUUUCUUUAAACUCCCAAUAAUUUAAAAUGAUUUUCAGUAAUAAUAAUCAAAUGAAGGAGCCUUAUUCUCUUUGGUGUUUCCCAGAGGUCUACUUCAAAAGAAAAUUUUCUCAUGUCUCAUUUCAACAUUUCGUUAACUAUGAAGAUAUGCCAGCUCGUUGAAUCAAAUAAAAAAUGUUACUGGAUAUUUAAGUGGUUUUGGUUUGCUAUUCAUAGUGCAUUGGCAUUAUCUGUUAAGACUGAAAAUAUGCAAUCCCCAUGACCCAGCAUUUCAUUCUCACAACAUUUCAUUCUCUGGAAGAAAUGCAUGAGUAUGUACACCAACAGGCAUGACAAGAAUGCUGUAGCAGUACUAUUCAUGCUGGCCCCAAAUGUCUAUCUACAUAGGAAUAGAAAAGUAAACCUUGGUAUAUCCAUACAAUGGCACAUCAAGUCACCACUGAGCUUUAGCUCUGAGAAGUAUAUUCAUGCAACACCCAUGGAGAGGGUGCUGCUGGAGAGCAAUUUGCCCAUCCUACAUGUUGACAAGUGUCAGGGCUGAAUGGAUCUCUCCUCAUUUAAAGAUCAGUAAAUAGGAAAAACAAUAAAUAAACAAAAGCAUCCACAACAAAUCAACAUAGGACCCAUGUAAAGAACUUAUAAAAGAAAAUGUAUGUUAUCGGAAAACAAUAAAAGCAUAUCUUAGGAAAUAUCUUACUGUAAUAGGGAAGAGCUAGUUCUGACUCCAUGUUGGAUCUGUUUCUUUUACUUUAACCUUUGCUUUUCAUUGCUUUUGUUACUAGAGUCACUGUCUGUAACUGUAAGCUUAAUGGCCUGCCACAGGGAACCCUGCUCCUCUGCCUGUUAAACUACAGUGCCUUUGUUCAGCUCACAGAGAGACAUUCUGACCCUGUCCACCUGUGAAUGGCUGCAGAAAAGAAGAAAUUAACACAUCCCCUCCUCAAUGCGGCCAAGCAAGGAGAUAUUUUGCAAGAUAAAUGGCCUUUUUACUUUACUUCCUCACCUCCUCCCCCUCUCUGUUCUAUAAAAGAAACUGGCAUCGAGACGUGGAUAAGAUGGUUAUGUGAGCAGAGUGAGCUUGGACUCGGUAACAAAUUUGGCUUAGCCAGCCAGGAGCCUUGCUGAUCGUGGCUAGCGGAGCAAGGCCCUAGCAGCUGCCAGGACCAUUUGUCCUGUGGAUCUUCCCUUCAGAACUCCCUGAAGUGGCACCAGCUACCCCAGCACUUGGCAGUUGGUGCAAGGAACUGAAAAACUUCUAUGAGUCGACAGACUCAAUUCUGGAGGGUAAGUUGCUCAGGUGUGCACACCGGGACCAUAUUCCCCCCUCAAUUUGGGCUUUUCCUUUAUAAGACAAGCUAAUUUGUUUGGUUGGGGUACCCUGUUGGAGAAGGGAAUUGUUGGACUCUACCUGAUUUGGGAACGGGUUCAUUGGUUUUGGUUUUGUGUGCGUCAGUGUUGGAAUUUGUGCUUUUUGUGUUGGAAUUUGUUUGCAUCUUUUGUGUUUUGGUGUCAUCAAACUUAUGAAAAUGGGAAAUAACUCCAACUAUCCUGAAGAAGAGCCCUUUGGGGGUGUAUAUUAAAUAAAUGGGCAAAACAUAGAUGUGAACCUAUGACUAAGAGAGACAUGAUAUACUAUUGUAAUAGGGUGUGGACCCAAUGUAUUUAAGUUCAGAAGAGCAAUGGCCCCUGAAUGACUCACUCAAUUAUUACACGAUCUCACAAUUAGAAGUGUUUUGCAAAAGGGCAAAGAAAAGAGAUGAGAUUCCAUAUGUAGGAGCAUUUAUGCUACUGCAUCAGGAGGAAAAGGAGUCAGAGGGCUGCCACCUUAUGGUGUAGUGGUCUGAAAGGAAACCCAAGGGGAAACCUGUUCUACAAGAAGAGGGAGAAAAUGAGAGUGGGGACAUGUUACUUCAAAAUCUAAAGCCCCUCCAGCCUAUCCAGCUCCCCCACUGGCCGAGCAGGCUGCACCGGCAGUUGUUUCAACUGCCCCCCAUGCCACCAACAUAUUCACUCCUUUCACCAUCUCCUGUUUCUCCUACCCAUGGGGAUCGAAUAGAAGUUUCUAUAUUAACCCCUGGAGCAUAGGGACGUAGUUUAGUAUUACCAUCUAAGACCCGACAGGGCACCCAAUUUGGACUGGGAGCCACUUCCACAGCAGGGCAAUUUCCCUUGCACUGAUAUCCUGUAAGAGGCCAGGAGACUCCUUUAGACUUGAGGCAUCUGAUUCUAAUUUCCCCACAGGAGCCCUGGGUAACUCUGACAGUAGGGAACAAGUUGAUUGACUUUCUAAUAGAUACAGUGCCACAUAUUAUGUGGUAAACACCAAGGUGGCACAGAAAACAUCUCAGUCUAUCCCGGUCACAGGAAUUUCUGGAGAAGUACAAAACCAUUCAUUCUUACAACCUCUUAGAAUGCCAACUAGGGAACCUCACCCUGAAACACAGCUUCUUAUAUAUGCCAGA
Molecule: RNA transcript, 4919 nt
Organism: Aethalodelphis obliquidens (Pacific white-sided dolphin)
Lineage: Eukaryota; Metazoa; Chordata; Mammalia; Artiodactyla; Delphinidae
Gene: CFAP91
Gene name: cilia and flagella associated protein 91
Exons: 19
Source: RefSeq, a predicted model, not a curated record